This 433-nucleotide ribosomal RNA is filed under the name uncultured bacterium. RNAcentral's name for it is "partial 16S ribosomal RNA". It matches the Rfam family "Bacterial small subunit ribosomal RNA", at positions 29 to 507 of the family's 1533-position model. The record is from RNAcentral.
AACGAACGCUGGCGGCAUGCCUAACACAUGCAAGUCGAACGAAGGCUUCGGCCUUAGUGGCGCACGGGUGCGUAACGCGUGGGAAUCUGCCCUUUGGUUCGGAAUAACAGCUGGAAACGGCUGCUAAUACCGGAUGAUGACGAAAGUCCAAAGAUUUAUCGCCAGAGGAUGAGCCCGCGUUGGAUUAGGUAGUUGGUGGGGUAAAGGCCUACCAAGCCGACGAUCCAUAGCUGGUCUGAGAGGAUGAUCAGCCACACUGGGACUGAGACACGGACCAGACUGCUACGGGAGGGAGCAGUGGGGAAUAUUGGACAAUGGGCGCAAGCCUGAUCCAGCAAUGCCGGGGGAGUGAGGAAGGCCCUAGGGUUGUAAAGCUCUUUUACCAGGGAAGAUAAUGACGGUACCGGGAGAAUAAGCCCCGGCUAACUCCGUG